RNAcentral lists this ribosomal RNA (4353 nucleotides) under Triticum aestivum (bread wheat). RNAcentral's name for it is "partial small subunit ribosomal RNA". The record is from RNAcentral. Lineage: Eukaryota; Viridiplantae; Streptophyta; Magnoliopsida; Poales; Poaceae.
CUCGAACCUGGGUAAAGUAGCGCGUGCUACUCGCAUACCCGUCCCUGCAUAUUCCAGCAGCAGCCUUGCCCUCACACGAAGCCACCUUGUGGCAUAUGUCGUCUUGCACCCCCCGUGAGAAUACCACGACAUUUUGCGCCCACCGUGUGGCCGGCAGUAAGCUACCGCGCUGCUGCUGGUUUCGUAGUCCGGGCGGGACCUUUUUUGAUGAUCGUCACCACGGCGUCGCGCCGUCUCUCCGAUAGCGCUCUGGGGCUCGACUUCGACCCGCCCACGGAGCGGCCGCACGGGACGGCGCGUCCUCGUCAGCGGCCUCUCUGCCUUCGUCAUCACCACUGUUGCGACGCCGGCUGUCAGUCUGCGCGCGCCGCGCACGGGCCCUCGCUUCAGUCGGCCGUGUCCGUCCACGCGCCACUUGCGUCUGUUCCUCUCCACGUUGCGCCUUGCUUUGGCCGAAAUGCGCUUUUGGUCCUCCACAUUUCGUCUAUUCAAGCUAGCUAGAGCAAGUCAAAUCAAUGGUCAAACCAUUAGCCAGAUAUCGCCUAUACACUACCCAUACAACACUGACCAUACGCAAACAAUAAUGUUGGUUUGCUGCUGCUAUCUCCACGCGGCCGUGGCAAAAUCCAGUAGCGUCAGUGUCGCGCACCUAGCUCCCCCGCCUCCCUGCUCCUCCUGAACAGCUGCUGGUUGCACCGAGCUCUUCCUGCGCCUGGCCUUCCUGUGUCGUCAGCUCCUGCUCCGUCCCGCAACCAACUUCAGCAGCAGCACUCCGCGCCGCGCGACGCCUUCUCCGAGCGCGUGCGCCGCUCGGCUCCUGCUCCGCUCCGCCUGCAGCACCCCUGAGCGACCGCUACGCCCGUGCGUUGCAGCCGGCCGCUGCCCGCACGCCCGGGCCGGCCCCGCCUGCUCACAGCGUCCGGCUGCUGCCCUGCCUGCCGCUUGCUGCUGCGUCCCCAUGGCCACACACCCCACAGGCGCCGGGUCCGCCUGCCGCUUCUCGCCCGAGCCGGCACCGCGCUUGGCCACGCGCCUCUCCGGCCGGUUCCGCUCGCCGCCCUUCGCCCGAGCCAUCCGCGUGGGCAGUCCCGCGCCCGACUUCGCCCUCGCGCCGGCUGCCUAGCUCCCGGACGCCGGCGGCCCAUCGCCCGGACUCCGACUCCUCCGCCCUGCUGCUCCCACGGACGCGCGUCGCUGCACUGCGGACUGCGGCGUCGUCCGCCUGCUCCUCCACGGCCUUCAGACGCACCGGCCCCAGCGCCCGGCCGCCCCCGCGCUUGGCUGCGGCCGCUUCUCCCGCGGCCGCGCGGGCGUCCCCUCUGUCCCCGCGGGCCUCCUGCUCCGGCACCGUGCUCGUCUCCUGCGGUCGACCCAGCACCGCGCUCACAACUCCCCAUCUCUGCGCGCCCACGGCUCCCCCGGCUGCCGCCUACUCGGUCGGCGCCGCGCGCUCACCCUGCUCCGGGCCGGCUACCGCCCUCCUACCACCGGCUUCAGCCGCUGCCGACUCGCCGCUGCAGCCGACUUCGCGGCCCCGACCUUCUCUGCCCCGUCGCGCCUGCCGGGUCGCCGUGGCCGCCCGCUCCUACAAUGGCCGGCUCCGGGCCCCGCCGGCUGCCGGGUGCUCCACCUCCGCCCCAUGGUCGCCUGCGGGCUCCGCCUGCUCCGGCCGGCCUCCGCCUGGAGGCUCCUCGCGUGCGCCCCGCUAUAGCCAGCUGCUCGAGCGGGCCGGCUGCUCGCGUCGCUUCGCGCCUUCGGCCCCGUCCGCUCGCGUGCGUUUGCCCGCAUCGCCCCACCUUCGCGGCCUCACCUCGUCCCCGUGGAGCCCGUUCCGCCUUGCGCGCACCCGCGGUCGGCCGCACUGGACUCCCUUCCGGCUGGCCGCCGACUCCCCUGCCACGCCUCUGGUCGGCCGGGUCGCGCGCCUCCACUGCCGGCCCCCGGGUCGGGCGCCGUGUCCGGCUGUUCCACGCGCGCCCCUGCCGGGUCCUACUCCAGCCGCCUAUUGAGACCGACGCCUGAAGAAAAGAAGCAGUGGCCGGCUGAAAAAGAGAAGAAAAUUCAAGGGCUUUGUUCCCAGCCGGCUGAGAAAGAGUCGGGCCGACUGCUAGCUAAAAAGAGAAAAAAAGAGAGAGGGAAAAGAGAAGAAAAGUCAGAGGCCGACUGCCUGCUAGCCGGCUUGAUGAAAAGAGGUGGAGGCCGGCUGCGCGUGUACGGGCUGGCUAGAAAAGUCAAGGCCGGCUCCCCAUCGAAAAAAGAAAAAAGAAAGAAGGGCCCGGUUUCCCGCGUGGAGUCGGACAGAAAGAGAGAAGAGAAAAAAGGACCGGCUAUCCAAGUCAACGGCCGACUGCCUGUCGCCGGCUUGCUGAAAAAAAAGAGCAACUUAUACGUCCGCCUGCUAUAAGAGAAAAAGAAUCAACUUCAACAAAGAAGACAAAGUAGUCACCGGGAGAUCCGGCCCGACAGCUCAGCAGUCGGCCCAGAUCUCGGGGGCUACACCCAGCGGGUGCGCUGACGCGCCCCCGCAAAGAAGAAGACAAAGUACCGGGAGAUCCGGCCCGACUGCUCAGCAGUCGGCCCGAAUCUCGGGGGCUACACCCAGCGGGUGCGCUGAUGCGCCCCCACGAAGAAGAAGACAAAGUAGUUGCCGGGAGAUCCGGCCCGACUUCUCAGCAGUCGGCCCGAAUCUCGGGGGCUAGAUCCAGUGGGUGCGCUGACGCGCCCCCACGGAAGAUUGCAGACAAGAGAAGAGUUUUGUCCGGCUGUCAGCAGCCGGCAGAAAAAAAAGAAAGAAAGAAGAAAAAGGGCACUGCAAGAUGUCUCGCCGCCUGGCCGGUCGAGCCUGACCGGCCGGGACCCCUUCGAGCACCCGGAGGCUUGAAGGCUGCACCCAGCGGAUGCGCCAGCACGCUCAGCAAGCGUUGAGUCGCGCCGGCAAUCUUCGGCAAACUCCGCCUCGGCUACACGAAAAUCAAUGUGAGCUCCUCACCCGCAUAUUUUUGCACCGCAAGAGCAUGGAUAACCCCGAGCGAUGUCGGGGUCUAUCUCCGCAUUUCAUUACAGUUGCAUCACUGUUCGCCCUGGCGCUAGCUAGAGUUGGCCUGGGGGCUGGCCGCUUGGCCUGAGACGUUAGUUCCAGCAGAUGGUUUAGUAGCGUGCAUGGUACUAAAGGCCCACUCUUAGUCACAGACCGCAGAGCGGCUGUUCGGCUAGCAAGAGUGAAUGCUGGAGGCCACCCACGCGAAAAACGUCCGGGAAAAAAACGGUUCAGGCGACCCGGCCGUUUCCUUUACAAGUAUCUACUCGGUUGAAUCUGCUCCCAGACUCUGAGUACUGUACACUCCACUUCGCGGCCCACUCUCAACCACAGACCGCAGAGCGGCUGUCCGGCAAGCAAGAGCACAAGCCAAGAAGUGGAGGGAACACGAAAACGAUUAAGGGGGCUCGGACGAAACCGAGUCGGCACCCUCCGCAUAAAACUUGCAAUGCUAAAAGCAAACAUUUGAUAUAUCUGCAUGGACUAACUUUGUCUUUUUCAUGAUCAUUUCCAUGAACACUCGCCAAAAAACCUCCGCCCAACUUUGCCAAGUUACCCGGAGGCUUGGGGGCUACUGUUGGAGUAAUUGGACACAGAUACCCCGAAGACGGCGAGACAAGAAUUCAAGACAUCGGGACUAGCAAAGCCCCUCAGUCCAACUACCUGGCCGACUGCUGGCUGCCGACUGCUCCGCGAGGCCGACUGCUCGACCAGGCCGACUGCUGGCUGCCGACUGCUCCACCAGGCCGACUGCUGGCUGCCGACUGCUCCACCAGGCCGACUGCUCCACUAGGCCGACUGCUGGCUGCCGACUGCUCCACCAAACCAACUGCUGGCUGCCGACUGCUCCAACCAUCCGUCUUCCCGAAGUCAACUGCAGCCUGACGCGACCCCGACGUGACGGCCGUACCCAACACCGUUUACGUGUCACCCCAGCCAUCAUGUACAGUGUCCCUUGUCCCUGGGCACUAUUUAUGAAGUGACCCAGGGGACAAGGAUGACACCCAACCAUACCCCCUUGCUCCCAUACCAUACUUAGCUUAGAUAGUAAGCUAGCUCCACACUAUAUAUAUCCAUACAUCCAUCCAUCCACCCUCACAUGCACACACGCAUGAGCAUACACAUGCUCACGGCCAUGAGCCAUGAGCAUGGCCGGCCACUAGAGCAUGUCACAUAUAUGCAUAUAUGAAACCAGAUGCCUGUGGCACUGCUUUCAGAUACAGCUCCAGGAGCAACUCUGUACCAAAUAUACAUACCAGAUAUACUCAGACAUGCAGGAGUAGGGGUGUUAUCUCUCCGGAGAGCUCCGAACCUGG